AAAUCUCAUACACAAAGAAAACAAUUACUCUAAUAUAUAGAAUCUCAAAAAUUUAACCUUUGGCCACAUAAUGUCUUGGGGGAAACUUUCUUCCAUCCCCAUUUGCCUUUUCAUUGGAGUUCUUUGCCUUGCCUUGCCUUCGAACACUGUGACAGGGGAAAUAUACUGGCAGCAGGUUUACAUGAGCAUGACCAAGCCACCGUGCUCAAACGUUGGACACUGCACAUAUAUAACAUGCGAAACGGGUCCUCCUCAAGGGAAAUGCGCUGCGCUUGGCCCUGGGACACCUCUUUCUUGCCGCUGCAUAAAUUAGUUAAUCGAAGUUUGCACUUGUUUUGGUCUAGCCCAACUUAUGCUGUAUUGGGGUGUAUCAUCUAAUAAUCACAUUGGCUUUGAAUUUCCGUAA
Long non-coding RNA from Rhododendron vialii, 406 nucleotides. RefSeq lists it as uncharacterized. The transcript is spliced from 2 exons. Lineage: Eukaryota; Viridiplantae; Streptophyta; Magnoliopsida; Ericales; Ericaceae. The record is from RefSeq and is a predicted model, not a curated record.